CCUACGGGAGGCAGCAGUGGGGAAUAUUGGGCAAUGGGCGCAAGCCUGACCCAGCAACGCCGCGUGAGCGAUGAAGGUCUUCGGAUUGUAAAGCUCUGUCGCUGGGGACGAAGUAUGACGGUACCCUGUAAGAAAGCCCCGGCACACUACGUGCCAGCAGCCGCGGUAAUACGGAGGGGGCUAGCGUUGUCCGGAAUUACUGGGCGUAAAGGGAGUGUAGACGGCUUGUCAAGUUAAGUGUGAAAGCCUGCGGCUUAACCGGAGAAUUGCACUUAAAAUUGACUGGCUAGAGUGCAGGAGAGGUGAGUGGAAUUCCUGGUGUAGCAGUGGAAUGCGUAGAUAUUAGGAGGAACACCAGAGGCGAAGGCGGCUCACUGGACUGUAACUGACGUUGAGGCUCGAAGGCGUGGGGAGCAAACAGGAUUAGAUACCCGUGUAGUC
This 441-nucleotide ribosomal RNA is filed under the name uncultured bacterium. RNAcentral's name for it is "partial 16S ribosomal RNA". It matches the Rfam family "Bacterial small subunit ribosomal RNA", at positions 338 to 795 of the family's 1533-position model. The record is from RNAcentral.